UUUUAAGAGCAUACGAUACAGUUACAGGGGAGGUAAUGACGUUGCUAACGUAAAAUGUUAUUUUCGCGACGUCAAACUAUGACAUAUCGGGAAAAGAUGCAUUUUUCGAUUGUUUUUUUAUCAUUUAAACUGAUUUAAUUUGAAAACGAAUGCAUGGACCCCUAUUUUUUAAAACGGCAAUUUGUUUCAUUUUUCAAGGAGAUUAUGUGACCCA
RNAcentral lists this long non-coding RNA (214 nucleotides) under Mytilus galloprovincialis (Mediterranean mussel). Lineage: Eukaryota; Metazoa; Mollusca; Bivalvia; Mytilida; Mytilidae. The record is from RNAcentral.